GACGAACGCUGGCGGCGUGCUUAACACAUGCAAGUCGAACGGAGUGGCGAACGGGUGAGUAACACGUGGGUGAUCUGCCUUGCACUUCGGGAUAAGCUUGGGAAACUGGGUCUAAUACCGGAUAGUGCAAGAUGAGCUCGCGGCCUAUCAGCUUGUUGGGGGGGUAAUGGCCUACGAAGGCGGCGACGGGUAGCCGGCCUGAGAGGGUGUACGGCCACAUUGGGACGGAGAUACGGCCCAGGCGAGGACGGGAGGCAGCAGUGGGGAAUAUUGCACAAUGGGCGGAAGCAUGAUGCAGAGACGCCGGGUGGGGGAUGCAGGCCUUCUGGUUGUAAACUCCUUUCGAUAGGGACGCGGUACCUGUAUAAGAAGCACCGGCUAACUACGUGCCAGCCGCCGCGGUAAUAC
This 408-nucleotide ribosomal RNA is filed under the name uncultured bacterium. Its description in RNAcentral is "partial 16S ribosomal RNA". It matches the Rfam family "Bacterial small subunit ribosomal RNA", at positions 28 to 526 of the family's 1533-position model. The record is from RNAcentral.